Physeter macrocephalus (sperm whale) is the source of this 106-nucleotide small nuclear RNA. The record is from Ensembl. Lineage: Eukaryota; Metazoa; Chordata; Mammalia; Artiodactyla; Physeteridae.
GUGUCACUUUGGCAGCACAUAUACUAAAAUUGGAACCAUAUAGAGAAAAUUAACAUGGCCCCUGGGCAAGGAUAACAUGCAAAUCUGUGAAGCGUUCCAUAUUUUU